Molecule: transfer RNA, 72 nt
Filed under: Camelus bactrianus (Bactrian camel)
Lineage: Eukaryota; Metazoa; Chordata; Mammalia; Artiodactyla; Camelidae
Also listed under: 2 other names
Rfam family: tRNA
About the family: Transfer RNA (tRNA) molecules are approximately 80 nucleotides in length. Their secondary structure includes four short double-helical elements and three loops (D, anti-codon, and T loops).
Source: Rfam by way of RNAcentral
GGGGGUAUAGCUCAGUGGUAGAGCAUGUGCUUACCGUGUGUGAGGUCCAGGGUUCAAUCCCCAGUACUUCCA